AAAAAUUCUCAAUAUAAACUACUGAUCAUUUAUGUCCAAUCUGCUGCACUUGAAAAUCUAUGCUGCAGAAAAUUUCAGCUGCAUAUCGUUGCCUUAACCCAUCUAUUUCAAUCUUUUUUGAAUGAAAUUUCUUAUACACUUCAUAGAUUAUCUUGGCUUCCAUCUAAGAUUGAUCUAUUAAGAAAUUCAUCUCUAAAAACGAUUUUAUGUUGCUGCAAAUUUUCAUCGUAACCCGCUGAAAUUUUUCGACGAUAAUUCUGCAAUUGCAACUUGCACCAAUUUCCUUGCUGUUAUACUGCCGAAAUUUUCUUGACUAAAUUAGAUAUCCUUACUGUCAUAUAAACUGUGAUUUUGCUAUCAAUUCCCUCCUCAAAUUUCUCAUGUUUUUGGUGGAAAUUACGUCGAGAAACCAUUGUUUCUUCGACGACAAUUCUACUCUUACAAGACAGCACAUACUUGCUGCAACUUCCACGGAUUUCUGUCAAACCUUUGCUACCAUCUACCACAGAUCCAAAACUUUCAUCCAUAACCCUAAAACUCUACCAAACCACACCCUCAAACUGCACCCAAAACAGCCACAAAACAAGCCUAAAUCGUAGCCUACAUCCACCGAUCCACCAACCCUUUCGACCAUCACUUCUCUCAACCUAUACAUGCCUUUAACCUGACAACAAAAGAGAGAUCUCAACAUCAUAGAUUUGGAGGCAUAUACUAUGGCAUCUAAGGAGGCAAUCGAUGCUAAAUUCAAAGCCUUGGAGGCGCGAAUGGAGGAUAAGAUUCGGACGCUCUUUACCGAACUCAGAUUGGGUCGACUACUAAGCCCGAAAAAAUCAUAUCAC
This 839-nucleotide long non-coding RNA is filed under the name Musa acuminata (dwarf banana). RNAcentral describes it as "long non-coding RNA (MACU_LNC011009)". The record is from RNAcentral. Lineage: Eukaryota; Viridiplantae; Streptophyta; Magnoliopsida; Zingiberales; Musaceae.